Molecule: long non-coding RNA, 3347 nt
Filed under: Marmota monax (woodchuck)
Lineage: Eukaryota; Metazoa; Chordata; Mammalia; Rodentia; Sciuridae
Source: RNAcentral
AUUCACACAUGCUAGGCAAGCACUCUGUCACUGAGCUACAGCCUUAGAUGCCUUUUUGAACAGUGUAAUGGUCAGCAAGGCUGUGGCACUGACCUUACUCAUGAAUCUUUUUGAAGGGGUCUAGUGAUACAGGGAUGGAAGCUGGGAGUAAAUUUAAGAUAACUAGUGAUAAAAAUAAAUGGAUGUCUUAGAGCAGGGGUGAGGGAAUAUGACUCUGCCUCCCAAAAUAUAACUAAUAACUGGAAAAGCCUGCUUUUGGUUUUCUAAUUUCUUAUGGCAUUUAAUGGAAAAAAACCAUCUAAUGGUUUUUUCACUAAGGAUCUGAGAGAUUAAAUACAAAACACAGAAAAUAAUUCACAUAGUAUUAAACUUACCUUGCAAGUAGAAAAGCCUUUUAAAACUGUUAAAUAUGUGGAUUAUAUGUUACAUUCACAUGGAGUUCAUUUUAUACUGAUUAUGUCAUUUUCUUCCUGAUAACAGACAUAAUGAUGGUUGACACCUGUUCCGGACAAUGUCAGUGAGAUGACUCUUUAAACCCUUAAGGUUCAGCAGAGUGGAAGAAGUGUGGAUUCUUUGCAUGCUUGUGUGAUUCACAAACUUCACUGAGGCCUUUAACUGAGAUUUCCAUUCUUUCCCCCUUCCAGUCUCCUUAAAAUCUUUUUUUUUUGGGGGGAAUGGGUAUUAGGGACUGAACUUAGGGGCACUUGACCACUUAGCCACCUCCCUAGCCCUAUUUUGUAUUUUAUUUAGAGACAGGGUCUCACUGAGUUGCUUAGUGCCUCGAUGUUGCUGAGGCUGGCCUUGGACUUGAAAUCUUCCUGCUUCAGCCUCCUGAGCCCCUGGGAUUACAGGUGUGUGCUACCGUGCUAGGCUCAAUCUUCUUAAAAUCUGACAGCUAACUGCAGAUUUUUAAAAUAAUAUUAAUGAGAGAUAAUUGAUAUACAAUAAACAUGGAGCACAUUUAAAGUAUACAAUUUGCAAAGUUUUGACAUACACCCUCCACACUGAAACCAUUGCUUUGAUUAAGUGAAUAUGUCCAUCACUUUCAAGUUUCUCUCCUGCCCCUUUAUAACUUCCUCCCUACCUUACACACCUAAGCAACAACAGGUCUACUUUCUGUUAGUAUGGAUUCAUCUGCAUUUUCUAAAGUUUUAUAUAAAUGAAAUCACAAAUGUAUCCUUUUUUGGUCUGUUUUUUUUCACUCAUUUUCUGUGUACAAUAGUUCAUUCUUUUUUAAAAAAAUAUUUAUUUUUUUGUUGUAGUUGGACACAAUACCUUUAUUUUAUUUAUUUUCAUGUGGUGCUGAGGAUCAAACCCAGGGCCCAUGCAUGUGCUAGGCGAGCGCUCUACUACCAGGCCACAACCCUAGCCCAGUAGUUCAUUCUUUUAUUAUUACAAAGUGUAUUCCAUUGUGUGGAUGUACUACAAUUUAUCCACUUAAUCAGCUGGUGAACGUUUAGCCUGUGUUUAGUUUCAAGCUAUUAACUUAUGGAGCUACUGUGAACAUUUGUGUGCAAGGAAAUAUAUAUGUACAUAUUUCUUUUCUUUUUUUGAUAACUAAAAGUGGAAUGGCUGGUUCCUGUAGAAGGUGUGCUUUUAAUUUUCUAAGAAAUUUUUAUAUUUUCCAGAGUGGUUGUAUCUCUUUAUAUUUCCAUCAGGAAGCCUGCAGGGACUCCAACUCUGCCAUACUUUGCAUGGCCUUCCCUUCAAAUCUCAGUGGAAGCCUCCAUGAUCCCCAAACUCCAGCAUCCUACAUUCCCACAGAAUAAUCACCAUGUAGAUGAUGCCAAGGUCUCCUGCCUGCUCAUGUAAUACCUGGGCCCCUUGGAAUAUUGCCUGCAGUGGUCUCUGAGUGCCUGCACAGUUAAGCAUGGUGAAACAACUUUCUAUGCCCCUCUGAGUGAGCAUGGCACCCCCCAGAAUCUCUUUUCAAGUGAAUUUUCCCCUUCUGUGCCCUGAAGCCUAUAGUUGGUAUGAUUUUGCAAAUUCCUGAGAUGCCCCUAACCAUCAUUUCUAUUAUUUCUAUGCAAAGUACAUAGCAUCUCUUUAGGGGCUGCAAUCUCUUCAAAAAGAACAACUUUUUUGACCCCAGUUUUACAAGCACUUUUCUGGUCAAACUGUAAAAGUUAGAACUUCUUUAGAUCUCUUUCCUGCUCCUUAUUCUCACAGUAAAUCUGGCUAAAAUCUGCCAGCAGUAUCCAUGCUACUGAUUGAAAUUUGUUGUCCUGAAAUUUCUUCUGCCAGGUUAAUUAAUACAUCACCUUUAAAUUCAGCCUCACACAAAGUCUCAGGAUAUGGGCAAAAUGUAGCCAAGUUCUUUGCCAGAAUAUAAUAUAAGUGGCCUCUACUCUAAUUUCCAAUAGUGUCCUCAUUUCCUCUGAAACCUCAUAAGUAAAAUCUGCAUUUCUGUCACCAUUCUGGUCUUCUGAACUCCCCCUUUAAUCACCCUUCUUAAUCACCCUUUAAGCUCAGCUUACAUUAUAAAGCUUUUUCCAGCCUGUAUGUACAAACUUUUCAAAAUUUCUCCCUCCAAACAGUUCCGAAGGCUUCUGAAUCACAUGGUCAGGUUAGUCAUGGCAACAACCCCACUUCUUGGAACCAGUUUCUGUUUUAGUUAGCUUUUGCAUUUCUGUGACCAAAAGAGCAACUUAGUGGAGUAACUUAGAGGGGGCUCAUGGCUUCAGAGGUCCAUGGAUGGCUGACUCCUUUGAUCUGGAACCAAGGUGAAGCAGCACAUCAUGGGAGAAAGGUCCAGCAGAGAAAAGCUGCUCAACUUAUGGUGUGGUCAGGAAGCAAAGGGAGAGGAAGGACCACAGGAAGAAAAACCCUUCUAGGGAAUACCCGCAAUGACCCAUCUCCUCCAGCUACUGCACUACAUGCCUAUAGUUACCACCCAGACCUUUCGAAUGAGUGUGAAAUGAUUAGGUUAUAGCUUUCACAACCCAGUCAUUUCACUUUAGAGUAUUCCUGCAUUAAUAGGAGUUUUGUGGAACACCUCAUACCCAAACCAUAACAGCAUCUUUUCAUGGGUUUAUAUGCCAUCUGAAUUUCUUUUAGAGUCUAAUCAGAUCUUCAUUUCAUUUUUUACAAAAAAUGGAUUGCUUAUUUUCUUAAAUUUUGAAAGUUUUAAAAAAUAUAUCCUGGAUACAAGGCCUUUGUCAGAUAAAUGCUUUGUAAAUAUUGUCUCCCAGUAUGUAGUUUGUCUUUUCGUUCUCUUAACAGUGUGUUUUGAAGAGAAGUUUAAAUUUUUUUUUUUUUUUUUUGUGUGUGUGUGUGUGUGUAUGGUGUUAGGGAUUGAACCCAGCGCCUUGUGCAUGUAAGACAAGCGCUCUACCAACUGAUCUUUA